RNAcentral lists this ribosomal RNA (476 nucleotides) under uncultured bacterium. Its description in RNAcentral is "bacterial SSU rRNA". It matches the Rfam family "Bacterial small subunit ribosomal RNA", at positions 335 to 800 of the family's 1533-position model. The record is from RNAcentral.
ACUCCUACGGGAGGCAGCAGUGGGGAAUAUUGCACAAUGGGCGCAAGCCUGAUGCAGCCAUGCCGCGUGUAUGAAGAAGGCCUUCGGGUUGUAAAGUACUUUCAGCAGUGAGGAAGGUGGGUAUGUUAAUAGCAUACUCAUUUGACGUUAGCUGCAGAAGAAGCACCGGCUAACUCCGUGCCAGCAGCCGCGGUAAUACGGAGGGUGCGAGCGUUAAUCGGAAUUACUGGGCGUAAAGCGCACGCAGGCGGCUUGUUAAGCUAGAGGUGAAAAGCCCCGCGCUCAACGUGGGAACUGCCUUUAGAACUGGCAGGCUAGAGUCUUGGAGAGGGGAGUGGAAUUCCAGGUGUAGCGGUGAAAUGCGUAGAUAUCUGGAGGAACAUCAGUGGCGAAGGCGGCUCCCUGGCCAAAGACUGACGCUCAUGUGCGAAAGUGUGGGUAGCGAAACAGGAUUAGAUACCCUGGUAGGAUAGCGU